RNAcentral lists this ribosomal RNA (492 nucleotides) under Pichia norvegensis. RNAcentral's name for it is "SSU rRNA". It matches the Rfam family "Eukaryotic small subunit ribosomal RNA", at positions 547 to 1056 of the family's 1831-position model. The record is from RNAcentral. Lineage: Eukaryota; Fungi; Ascomycota; Pichiomycetes; Pichiales; Pichiaceae.
AUUGGAGGGCAAGUCUGGUGCCAGCAGCCGCGGUAAUUCCAGCUCCAAUAGCGUAUAUUAAAGUUGUUGCAGUUAAAAAGCUCGUAGUUGAACUUUGGGCCCGGGCGGGCGGUCUACCUAUGGUAAGCACUGUUGCGGCCGGGUCUUUCCUUCUGGCUAGCCUCCCCUGUGGGCGGCGAACCAGGACGAUUACUUUGAGGAAAUUAGAGUGUUCAAAGCAGGCCUUUGCUCGAAUAUAUUAGCAUGGAAUAAUAGAAUAGGACGUAUGGUUCUAUUUUGUUGGUUUCUAGGACCAUCGUAAUGAUUAAUAGGGACGGUCGGGGGCAUCAGUAUUCAGUCGUCAGAGGUGAAAUUCUUGGAUUGACUGAAGACUAACUACUGCGAAAGCAUUUGCCAAGGACGUUUUCAUUAAUCAAGAACGAAAGUUAGGGGAUCGAAGAUGAUCAGAUACCGUCGUAGUCUUAACCAUAAACUAUGCCGACUAGGGAUCGG